Non-coding RNA from Bombyx mori (domestic silkworm), 84 nucleotides. The record is from Rfam. NCBI's taxonomy places the organism in Eukaryota, Metazoa, Arthropoda, Insecta, Lepidoptera, Bombycidae.
UUAGCUCAUAUUUGUAUGGAAUAGGAUCGUUUGCGUACGUUUGCCGCUAGGGGCGCUGUUCCAACUGCAUACAAAAUUGAGUUA